AAUCAUCAAGAUUGUAACUUUUGUGAGAUCUGGAUUGGACCCAUGAUUCCAACUCGGGUCUUUGAGCUUAAAGUUGGUUUCUCCGAUCAGCUUCCUGGAGCGCUCAGCCAUAGUCUACAGGGACAGACCCUCUAUUAUGUAUGGAGACAUCGUCUACACUUGGAGACAGACACUUGAACGAUGCACCAGACUUGCUUCUUCUCUUGCCCAACUUGGAAUUUCUCAAGGCGAUGUGAAUGCAUUUGAGCUCGCCUUCUUCGUUUGGGUUCCAAGCUGGCAGCUAAGAAUCCGAAAAGAGGAAUAAAAUGGUUCUUAGAGCAAGCUGCUGCUGAGAAGGUUAAUGAGAGAAAAUAUAAAUGUGAUCAUGCCAGGUCAAAGAGGUUGAAAACAACAAUAUCUUGAUGCCUCUUCUAGGGUACAGACUAUGGUCUCGCAUAAGCAACCACUCUCUCUAAGGUUGCAUUUAGGACUAAGGUCUUCCGUCUUCCACCCAUAUACCAACAGCAAUGGAAGCAUUUGUCUUGAUAUCCUCAAAGAGCAAUGGAAUCCAGCCCUUACUAUCUCUAAGAGGAGGAGGUUGGAAGGUGAAAGAUGAGGGAGAGAGAUCAAGAGGUUGCAGCAAUGGAAGGGGCUGUCGUGUGGUGGUGGCGGCUCUGGCAAAGAUAGAGUUGAUGCACUCAGUAUAUUAUUCCACAACCUUGAAUUGUAGCAGGUUCUGAAGGUAUCAAAGGCUUCAACCAGCUCAGAUAGUCAUACUCAAUAGACCCUCCACAUAAUUAAACUAGCCCAGAUCUCAAGUAAGUUCCAGAAAUAUUGCCUUCAAAAUGCAGUGAUGGCUUUCUUUCGCCUUCGAAGUUGGUGGAAAGGGAUCAUGGAAAUGGGUGCGACAAUACUUGCGAGGAGCUAAGGGAGUUUGGGAAAACUGAAGAUGAUUUGAAGUCACUUCAAAGUAUUGGUCAGAUGAACCCUGAGCUCUUCCUUAGAGUGGGCAUCAAACCACCCAAGGCAUGUUUUAUAUAGUAUUACUGACUUCAUAUUAUUAGUGACAUGUUCAGUAAAUUUUUUAUGCACCCUAGUAAUGUUAUCAUGCUAAGAGUCUUCUUCCUUAUUUUAUUGAAGUGUUCCAGGGUUUUCUUCUCUAUGGACCCCCGGGAACAGGGAAGAUAUUGCUAGCAAAGUAAUUGCGAGCAACAUAGAUGCUAACUUUAUAAAAUUAUUCAUCCCGUACAAAAUCUCUUUGAGGAUAAUGAUAUAGCUAAACAGCUCUUACAAAGUGUUUUAGUAUGUUUCUUUUUCCAAUUUCGAUUACAUUUUCAUACUUGAGUGUUAGCCAAGAAUAUAAGAAUGGGUGAAAAGCUCAACCUACAUUUUCUCUAUCUUUGUGGAGCUAGAAAUUGAAGUUGGAUAGAAAUUGAAGUUCUCUAUCAAGAUAGCAGGCCUAGCUUGCUGGAUAUCUACUUGUGCUCUAAUUAUAUUAUUAAACACUUGUUCUGCUUAUAGGAGAGCAAAGAGCAGUUGAAACCCAUGGUGGCUUUGCUACAGCUUGUUUCUCUAUAUCGAAAGGAUAUUAUUUGGCAAGGAGAUAUCAUUGGAGUUAAUGCAGUGCUGCAGUUAUUCAUGGUUGAUAUCCAAUCAGAA
Rosa rugosa (rugosa rose) is the source of this 1638-nucleotide RNA transcript. RefSeq lists it as uncharacterized. NCBI's taxonomy places the organism in Eukaryota, Viridiplantae, Streptophyta, Magnoliopsida, Rosales, Rosaceae. The transcript is spliced from 10 exons. The record is from RefSeq and is a predicted model, not a curated record.